AAUGUGAUGAUGAACUGAGUGAAAUAUGGUUUUGGCAGUGGUGGCAUUGGUGGUGCUGCCGUGAGCCUGUCAACCAAAAAAACGACUUCUCUUUGCACUCAGCAUC
Small nucleolar RNA from Panicum virgatum (switchgrass), 106 nucleotides. RefSeq annotates it as small nucleolar RNA Z152/R70/R12. The transcript has a single exon. The record is from RefSeq and is a predicted model, not a curated record. Lineage: Eukaryota; Viridiplantae; Streptophyta; Magnoliopsida; Poales; Poaceae.